Molecule: ribosomal RNA, 468 nt
Filed under: uncultured bacterium
Lineage: Bacteria
Description: partial 16S ribosomal RNA
Rfam family: Bacterial small subunit ribosomal RNA
Source: RNAcentral
GACGAACGCUGGCGGCGUGCUUAACACAUGCAAGUCGAACGGAAAGGCCCUGCUUUUGUGGGGUGCUCGAGUGGCGAACGGGUGAGUAACACGUGAGUAACCUGCCCUUGACUUUGGGAUAACUUCAGGAAACUGGGGCUAAUACCGGAUAGGAGCUCCUGCUGCAUGGUGGGGGUUGGAAAGUUUCGGCGGUUGGGGAUGGACUCGCGGCUUAUCAGCUUGUUGGUGGGGUAGUGGCUUACCAAGGCUUUGACGGGUAGCCGGCCUGAGAGGGUGACCGGCCACAUUGGGACUGAGAUACGGCCGAGACUCCUACGGGAGGCAGCAGUAGGGAAUAUUACACAAUGGGCGGAAGCCUGAUGCAGCAACGCCGCGUGCGGGAUGACGGCCUUCGGGUUGUAAACCGCUUUCGCCUGUGACGAAGCGUGAGUGACGGUAAUGGGUAAAGAAGCACCGGCUAACUACGUG